This 152-nucleotide microRNA precursor is filed under the name Pelobates cultripes (western spadefoot toad). Lineage: Eukaryota; Metazoa; Chordata; Amphibia; Anura; Pelobatidae. The record is from RNAcentral.
ACACAUUCCAGCCAAUCAGCAGCAGACCCUCCCUCCCAGACCCUCCCACCUCCUGGACAGCAUCCAUUGUGAAGCUGCAUUCUUAGUGAGCUGUCCAGGAGGUGGGAGGGUCUCGGAGGGAGGGUCUGCUGCUGAUUGGCUGGCAUGUACAG